AUGGGCAGCCUCGCCGGCGGGGUCGGGGCCAGGCGGCCGCGGUUCCUGUGCCUGCACGGCUUCCGGACCAGCGGUGAGAUCAUGCGGAAGCAGGUGGUGGGGAAGUGGCCCGCCGAGGUCACGGCGCGCCUCGACCUCGUCUUCGCCGACGCGCCCUUCCCGGCCGAGGGCAAGUCCGACGUCCACGGCAUCUUCGACCCGCCCUACUACGAGUGGUUCCAGUUCGACAAGGGAUUCACGGAGUACAGGAAUUUCGACAAAUGCCUGGCUUACAUCGAGGAGCUCAUGAUCAAAGAAGGGCCCUUUGAUGGACUAAUGGGUUUCUCCCAGGGCUCGAUUCUAUCUGGCGCACUUCCGGGGCUCCAAGAACAAGGAUUGGCCUUGACUAGAGUUCCUAAGAUCAAGUACCUCAUAAUCAUAGGCGGCGCCAAGUUCCGCUCACCCGCAAUAGCCGAUAAGGCCUACGCCAACAUGAUCAAAAUCCCCUCGCUUCACUUCCUCGGCGACAAUGACUUCCUUAAACCCCAUGGUGAACAGCUCAUAGAGUCAUUUGUGGAUCCAUUCAUUAUACGUCACCCAAAGGGCCACACGGUCCCAAGGCUCGUUGAUGAGACGAGUUUGGAAGUCAUGUCCCGUUUCCUUGACAAGAUGGAAAAGGAGAUAUCUGAACUUCCAUCCGCCGAGGCUGAAGCAGCCGCUGAUGUUGACGAAAAAGAAGUGUGCAUCUGA
RNAcentral lists this ribosomal RNA (729 nucleotides) under Triticum aestivum (bread wheat). Its description in RNAcentral is "partial small subunit ribosomal RNA". Lineage: Eukaryota; Viridiplantae; Streptophyta; Magnoliopsida; Poales; Poaceae. The record is from RNAcentral.